AAGACUAUAGACCUGCGGAGUACCUGCGGAAGGAUCAUUACCGAGUUAUACAACUCAUCAACCCCUGUGAACUUACCUACAACGUUGCUUCGGCGGGAACAGACGGCCCCGUAAAACGGGCCGCCCCCGCCAGAGGACCCCUAACUCUGUUUUUAUAAUGUUUUUCUGAGUAAACAAGCAAAUAAAUUAAAACUUUUAACAACGGAUCUCU
This 211-nucleotide unclassified non-coding RNA is filed under the name soil metagenome. RNAcentral describes it as "partial contains 5.8S ribosomal RNA, internal transcribed spacer 2, and large subunit ribosomal RNA". The record is from RNAcentral.